RNAcentral lists this ribosomal RNA (295 nucleotides) under uncultured Aminicenantes bacterium. RNAcentral's name for it is "partial 16S ribosomal RNA". It matches the Rfam family "Bacterial small subunit ribosomal RNA", at positions 1089 to 1382 of the family's 1533-position model. The record is from RNAcentral. Lineage: Bacteria; Candidatus Aminicenantota.
CAACCGAGCGCAACCCUUGUCCAUUAGUUGUCAGCGAGUCAUGUCGGAUACUCUAAUGGGACUGCCGGUGACGAGCCGGAGGAAGGUGGGGAUGACGUCAAGUCAGCAUGGCCUUUAUGUCCAGGGCCACACACGUGCUACAAUGGACGGUACAGAGGGACGCAAGACCGCAAGGUGGAGCAAAUCCUCAAAACCGUUCUCAGUUCGGAUUGCAGGCUGCAAUUCGCCUGCAUGAAGCUGGAAUUGCUAGUAAUCGCAGAUCAGCUACGCUGCGGUGAAUACGUUCUCGGGCCUU